RNAcentral lists this unclassified non-coding RNA (20 nucleotides) under Mus musculus (house mouse). Its description in RNAcentral is "oocyte_clustered_small_RNA3236". Lineage: Eukaryota; Metazoa; Chordata; Mammalia; Rodentia; Muridae. The record is from RNAcentral.
UGGUAAACUGCUGGCCUAAA